GCCGGGCACCGUGGCUUAUGCCUGUAAUCCCAGUGUCUGGGGAGGCUGAGGCAGGAGGAUCCUGAACGCUAAGCAACUCAGUGAGACCCUGUCUCUA
This 97-nucleotide small RNA is filed under the name Marmota monax (woodchuck). The record is from RNAcentral. Lineage: Eukaryota; Metazoa; Chordata; Mammalia; Rodentia; Sciuridae.